AUUGAACGCUGGCGGCAUGCUUUACACAUGCAAGUCGAACGGUAACAGGCCGCAAGGUGCUGACGAGUGGCGAACGGGUGAGUAAUGCAUCGGAACGUGCCCAGUCGUGGGGGAUAACGCAGCGAAAGCUGCGCUAAUACCGCAUACGAUCUCUGGAUGAAAGCGGGGGACCGAAAGGCCUCGCGCGAUUGGAGCGGCCGAUGUCAGAUUAGGUAGUUGGUGGGGUAAAGGCCCACCAAGCCAACGAUCUGUAGCUGGUCUGAGAGGACGACCAGCCACACUGGGACUGAGACACGGCCCAGACUCCUACGGGAGGCAGCAGUGGGGAAUUUUGGACAAUGGGCGCAAGCCUGAUCCAGCAAUGCCGCGUGCAGGAAGAAGGCCUUCGGGUUGUAAACUGCUUUUGUACGGAACGAAACGGUCUGGGUUAAUACCCUGGGCUAAUGACGGUACCGUAAGAAUAAGCACCGGCUAACUACGUGCCAGCAGCCGCGGUAA
Molecule: ribosomal RNA, 498 nt
Filed under: uncultured bacterium
Lineage: Bacteria
Description: partial 16S ribosomal RNA
Rfam family: Bacterial small subunit ribosomal RNA
Source: RNAcentral